CCCUAAUGCAAAUCUGAUUAAUAAAUCCAAACCGCCCUCUCCAUUAUAGCUUGAGUCUAAAAACAGUGGGAUCAUCCAUGUCUAUAAACAUAUACUGCUCCUCGCUGAGGAACCAGCUGACUGAUUCAAAGAUAAAAGGACUCCCACUACUGCUGCAGCUCGGAGACUGUGAGAUAUUAGGAUAAUAUACUUCUUGUGAAACUGCAGAGUGACAUUUUGAUAAUCAUGGAGAAAGGUCGGUGUGGGUGCUAGACUGUCUAGCAAAAGGUAAACCACAAAAAUGGACCCCGUUUACCCAAUAAACAAAAGAUUAUUGGUCUUAAAGGCACCCUCCACACGGUAGAAUUCACUCCCAAACCAUAACACUUCCACCUCCACCUCCAUGCUUUCAAAGGACAUUAAAAGUAACAUUAGAAAGAUUUAGUGCAUGUGUUAUUCAUUACAAAUGUGACUUGUCUCUAGUAAAGUUUACUAUCCAACA
Molecule: long non-coding RNA, 481 nt
Organism: Girardinichthys multiradiatus
Lineage: Eukaryota; Metazoa; Chordata; Actinopteri; Cyprinodontiformes; Goodeidae
Exons: 3
Source: RefSeq, a predicted model, not a curated record